Long non-coding RNA from Felis catus (domestic cat), 396 nucleotides. RefSeq lists it as uncharacterized. The transcript is spliced from 3 exons. NCBI's taxonomy places the organism in Eukaryota, Metazoa, Chordata, Mammalia, Carnivora, Felidae. The record is from RefSeq and is a predicted model, not a curated record.
ACAGGCUGCAGGCCGUAUUAUGCUAAAUCAAGGAUACGGGGAGAUAAUUAACAUAGCAACUCUGGCAAGUUUAAUAGGUUCUCACACACAGUGACAGCCAGCAGCGUCCGAAGUGUUGACAUUAUGACUUAGAGAUGUGAUAAGGAGAAACACGAACUGCAUUUUCUAUUGUAUGGAUGCACCUGUCCUUUCUCUCCUGCCACCCAGCCUCAGCUUUAGCAUCGCCAAAAAUCUCUCUCCGGUGAAUGGCCCAUUUAAUCUCUUGUUUUCUGUUUUGAUCGUAUGAUUCGAUGUGCCUGAAAUGCCUUUCCCUGCCGUGUUGAAACAUUACUUAUCUUUGAGGAUGUGAUGCCAACCACUGGUGUGAUUUCUUUCCCAAUCCCCCUGAGCAGAAUA